CCAAGGAGAACUGCAGAUGGGGUGUGCAACCAGCCAGGGAGAGAGAAGUGUGUUGCAGUCAAUAAUGCUGGAAGGGUGUGCAGCCAUCAAAGUACUUUGACAUCAAACAGAGAUACCGGAUUUGGAAUUUGCCCUGCUCAGGACCCUGCGCUGUGAGGACCCGAGAGUCAGCUACCAAGGAGGCAGCAGAGAGCCAGAGCCAUCUGUGAGGUACCAUGUUCGGAAGUUCACCUGCCAUCAGAGCCCUGAGGUCACAGAAUGGCUGCUUGAGCAACAGAUAUUAAAGAGAAACCCAAUCGUAAUCAGGAAGCAGAGAGGUGGUUUCUUUCUUGUGUCUCUUUUGAAGGGG
RNAcentral lists this long non-coding RNA (349 nucleotides) under Rattus norvegicus (Norway rat). Its description in RNAcentral is "long non-coding RNA NONRATT025600". Lineage: Eukaryota; Metazoa; Chordata; Mammalia; Rodentia; Muridae. The record is from RNAcentral.